GACGAACGCUGGCGGCGUGCCUAAUACAUGCAAGUAGAACGCAGUUGCGAACGGGUGCGUAACUCGUAGGUAACUGCCUGGUAGCGGGGGAUAACUAUUGGAAACGAUAGCUAAUACCGCCUCCUACCAGAUGGACCUGCGUUGUAUGAGCUAGUUGGUGGGGUAACGGCUUACCGAGGCGACGAUACAUAGCCGACCUGAGAGGGUGAUCGGCCACACUGGGACUGAGACACGGCCCAGACUCCUACGGGAGGCAGCAGUAGGGAAUCUUCGGCAAUGGACGGAAGUCUGACCGAGCAACGCCGCGUGAGUGAAGAAGGUUUUCGGAUCGUAAAGCUCUGUUGUAAGAGAAGCGGUAUCUUACCAGAAAGGGACGGCUAACUACGUGCCAGCAGCCGCGGUAAUUC
Molecule: ribosomal RNA, 407 nt
Filed under: uncultured bacterium
Lineage: Bacteria
Description: partial 16S ribosomal RNA
Rfam family: Bacterial small subunit ribosomal RNA
Source: RNAcentral